GAUAGUGAAAAUGAAAUCUCUCAUAUAAUACUUGGGGAUAUGGCCCAAAAGUUUCUACCCAAUAACCGUAAAUUAUUGGACUAUGAGAGAAAGUAGAUGAACU
RNAcentral lists this non-coding RNA (103 nucleotides) under Bacillus sp. (in: firmicutes). RNAcentral's name for it is "Bacillus sp. Guanine sequence". It matches the Rfam family "Purine riboswitch aptamer". From Rfam's summary of the family: Riboswitches are metabolite binding domains within certain messenger RNAs that serve as precision sensors for their corresponding targets. Allosteric rearrangement of mRNA structure is mediated by ligand binding, and this results in modulation of gene expression. A class of riboswitches that selectively recognises guanine and becomes saturated at concentrations as low as 5 nM. RNAcentral also lists the same sequence under 1 other name. Lineage: Bacteria; Bacillati; Bacillota; Bacilli; Caryophanales; Bacillaceae. The record is from RNAcentral.